Molecule: non-coding RNA, 1708 nt
Organism: Paramuricea clavata
Lineage: Eukaryota; Metazoa; Cnidaria; Anthozoa; Malacalcyonacea; Plexauridae
Source: the annotation of a GenBank genome assembly
UUUAUAUUCAAUAUUCAUAAAAAGUUCUGGAAAAUUCAGUGCCCAUAACAAAAACAAUAACAGUCUCCAACACAUGUAACAACUAAUAAGAAUAACUUUUGUUUUAUUUGAGAUGGAAUAAAAAAAAUCAGCUACCAUAUUUGUUGAUGGAAUAACCUGCAUGUUUUACAUUUUCUAAUUUUCUGGGUGAUAAGCCGUGGCUGAUGGGGGCCCCUGAAUGUCUGUUAGUUUUUUAACUAACCCUACCUAAUGAGCGUUACACCACUGGUUACAAGUGUUGUUUAAUUGGUAUGUUGGCAAAUUAAUGAACUUUAUGCAAAAUCAGAAUCAAAGUAUUUCAGAUGCCAAUACUGAGAAAUUUUAGGGUUUAAAAUUAUUAUUUCUCAGUCACAACAAGAAUUGCCUAGCUGCGGCAAAUAUACGAUUGUCCAUUGCUUGUAACUGGGUUUUUUCCAUGUUAUCUGUAUACAAAGAGAAUACUUCUUAGCACAUUAUUAUUAAAAAAUCACUAUGGCAAUAUGCCAUACUCGGCAGUCUUUUAUAGGAUCAAACAACGAUAUGAGAGUGCAUGAGAACAAACAAUUCCCAUUAUAAACUAAUUUUUUUAACUUGGCAAAAAAAGUACAUUCCUGGAAACAGGAUACUAAAAUGAGUAAAAUUGCAAAGUUUGGUUGCGAAAUGUAGUAAAAUGCGGAAAAUAUAGCCUUGCAAAUGUGUGCGGAAAUUGCACCACAUUUGUGCCGAAAAUGGGCCAUUCCAUUUAAUAUCCGUACCCCCCCCCUGUCGAGGAUCCCUGGAAUUCUUCAGGGGUAAAGGGUUUUGAGCUUGGAAUUCUUCAGGGGUAAAGUGUUUUGAGCUUGGAAUUCUUCAGGGGUAAAGUGUUUUGAGGUUGGAAUUCUUCAGGGGUAAAGGGUUUUGAGCUUGGAAUUCUUCAGGGGUAAGGAGGUUUGAUUUGAAAUUUUUCAGAGCUUGGAAUUCUUCAGGGGUAAAGGCUUUUCUGCUUGGAAUUCUUCAGGGGUAAAAGGUUUUGAGCUUGGAAUUUUUCAGGAGUAAAGGGUUUUGAGUUUGGAAUUCUUCAGGGGUAAAGGGUUUUGAGCUUGGAAUUCUUCAGGGGUAAAAGGUUUUGAGCUUGGAAUUCUUCAGGGGUAAAGGGUUUUGAGCUUGGAAUUUUGGAAUUCUUCAGGGGUAAAAGAUUUUGAGCUUGGAAUUCUUCAGGUGUAAAGGGUUUUGAGCUUGGAAUUUUGGAAUUCUUCAGGGGUAAAAGGUUUUAAGCUUGGAAUUCUUCAGCGGUAUAACCAUGAAAAACAUGUAUCCUCGACAGGGGGUGAACGGAUAUUAAAUGGAAUAGCCCAUUGUACAAUACCUAUUGUGAGAUUACAGCUGUCCUGAGAGCUUUUAAAAUAUCAUUUGCCAGCAAGGCAAGGAGCUCCAUUAAAGCCUUGUCCCAUUAAGCAGAUUCUAUUUACAUCCAAAUAAACAGCAACUUGCGAAUAUAUUUAUUGUUGCAAUUUACGAAGUUCCAACUUUGUGAAAAUUGUGAACUUUGGUCGUCUAUUUCAGGCUUCCAGCCUUCCAAGUUUACUCAUAUAAGAUGACUUUCGGUUUAUAAAGUCUGGCUGAUGGGAAAACUAUUAAGUUUCAUCGAAAAAAUGAAGAAAAUAUGCACUAAAUCGAUGAAAUUAUUUCCAAAUACGCUCCCAAGUAAGCG